RNAcentral lists this ribosomal RNA (465 nucleotides) under Vreelandella stevensii. Its description in RNAcentral is "partial 16S ribosomal RNA". It matches the Rfam family "Bacterial small subunit ribosomal RNA", at positions 338 to 795 of the family's 1533-position model. The record is from RNAcentral. Lineage: Bacteria; Pseudomonadati; Pseudomonadota; Gammaproteobacteria; Oceanospirillales; Halomonadaceae.
AAUACGGAGAGAAGAAGGGGGGAAGAGGGGAAAAGGGGCGAAAGCCGGAUCCAGCCAUGCCGCGUGUGUGAAGAAGGCCUUCGGGUUGUAAAGCACUUUCAGUGGGGAAGAAAGCCUUGGGGCUAAUACCCUCGAGGAAGGACAUCACCCACAGAAGAAGCACCGGCUAACUCCGUGCCAGCAGCCGCGGUAAUACGGAGGGUGCGAGCGUUAAUCGGAAUUACUGGGCGUAAAGCGCGCGUAGGCGGUCUGAUAAGCCGGUUGUGAAAGCCCCGGGCUCAACCUGGGAACGGCAUCCGGAACUGUCAGGCUAGAGUGCAGGAGAGGAAGGUAGAAUUCCCGGUGUAGCGGUAAAAUGCGUAGAGAUCGGGAGGAAUACCAGUGGCGAAGGCGGCCUUCUGGACUGACACUGACGCUGAGGUGCGAAAGCGUGGGUAGCACACAGGAUUAGAUACCCCAGUAGUC